This 253-nucleotide ribosomal RNA is filed under the name uncultured bacterium. RNAcentral describes it as "partial 16S ribosomal RNA". It matches the Rfam family "Bacterial small subunit ribosomal RNA", at positions 524 to 776 of the family's 1533-position model. The record is from RNAcentral.
AACGUAGGUGGCAAGCGUUAUCCGGAUUCACUGGGCGUAAAGGGCACGCAGGUGGUAUGGUAGGUAGGGCAUGAAACCUCCCGGCUUAACUGGGAGCGGUUGUCCUAAACCACCGUACUUGAGGCUGAGAGAGGGAAGUGGAAUUGCCGGUGUAGUGGUGAAAUGCGUAGAUAUCGGCAGGAACACCAGUGGCGAAGGCGGCUUCCUGGCUCAGACCUGACACUCAUGUGCGAAAGCUAGGGUAGCGAACGGG